RNAcentral lists this unclassified non-coding RNA (365 nucleotides) under Senecio consanguineus. Its description in RNAcentral is "partial external transcribed spacer". The record is from RNAcentral. Lineage: Eukaryota; Viridiplantae; Streptophyta; Magnoliopsida; Asterales; Asteraceae.
UGGCUUACCUCCUCAUUUAUGCGUCAUGACUUGUAUCGUCUUGAGCGUAUUGUGGGUUUCCUGUGUUGCAUACCUGAUUGAUGGUAUCGUUUGGUUGAUCGAAGUCCCUUUUCGUCUUGUGUUGCCUUUGCGAAGCAUGAUGAACCUUGAAGCAGUCUCUAUGUUCCACAAUGUUGAUGCUAGUGUUUUGAUGUUGUGGCCCAUUGAGUUUGCUUGGUCUUGUGGAUACAGAACAUGAUUUGGGCAUAGGGUUUUGACUCUUGUUUUGUCCUUUACCAGUGUUCUUUAUAACGACGGUUCAUGUACGCCUAGGCUCGUACCUGCGUGAUGUUCUUGUCGAAGAGGAAUGCUACCUGGUUGAUCCU